UGCGUAGGCGGCUAGAUAAGUUGGGUGUGAAAUCCCUCGGCUCAACCGAGGAACUGCGCUCAAAACUGUCUAGCUUGAGGGAUACAGAGGUAAGCGGAACUUGCAGUGGAGCGGUGAAAUGCUUUGAUAUUGCGAGGAACACCAGUUGCGAAGGCGGCUUACUGGGUAUCUUCUGACGCUGAGGCACGAAAGCUAGGGGAGCGAACG
RNAcentral lists this ribosomal RNA (207 nucleotides) under uncultured bacterium. Its description in RNAcentral is "partial 16S ribosomal RNA". It matches the Rfam family "Bacterial small subunit ribosomal RNA", at positions 568 to 774 of the family's 1533-position model. The record is from RNAcentral.